GCACAAGCGGUGGAGCAUGUGGUUUAAUUCGAUGCAACGCGAAAAACCUUACCUACCCUUGACAUGUCUGGAAUCCUGAAGAGAUUUGGGAGUGCUCUAAAGAGAAUCAGAACACAGGUGCUGCAUGGCCGUCGUCAGCUCGUGUCGUGAGAUGUUGGGUUAAGUCCCGCAACGAGCGCAACCCUUGUCAUUAGUUGCUACGAAAGGGCACUCUAAUGAGACUGCCGGUGACAAACCAGAGGAAGGUGGGGAUGACGGAUGGUCAUCAUGGCCCUUAUGGGUAGGGCUACACACGUCAUACAAUGGCCGGGACAGAGGGCUGCCAACCCGCGAGGGGGAGCCAAUCCCAGAAAAUCUAUCGUAGUCCGGAUUGGAGUCUGCAACUCGACUCCAUGAAGUCGGAAUCGCUAGUAAUCGCAGAUCAGCAUUGCUGCGGUGAAUACGUUCCCGGGC
This 453-nucleotide ribosomal RNA is filed under the name uncultured Burkholderia sp. RNAcentral's name for it is "bacterial SSU rRNA". It matches the Rfam family "Bacterial small subunit ribosomal RNA", at positions 923 to 1379 of the family's 1533-position model. Lineage: Bacteria; Pseudomonadati; Pseudomonadota; Betaproteobacteria; Burkholderiales; Burkholderiaceae. The record is from RNAcentral.